UACAGAGGCCUCGAGCGUUAGGCGGAAUCACUGGGCUUAAAGCGUGUGUAGGCGGACUUCUAAGUACCUUGUGAAAUCCCACGGCUUACCCGUGGAACGGCUGGGUAUACUGGUUGUCUUGAGCCACUUAGGGGCUACCGGAACAAAUGGUGGAGCGGUGAAAUGCGUUGAUAUCGGAAGGAACGCCGGUGGCGAAAGCGGCGUGCUGGCCCUCUUCUGACGCUGAGGCGCGAAAGCCAGGGGAGCGAACGGG
RNAcentral lists this ribosomal RNA (253 nucleotides) under uncultured bacterium. Its description in RNAcentral is "partial 16S ribosomal RNA". It matches the Rfam family "Bacterial small subunit ribosomal RNA", at positions 524 to 776 of the family's 1533-position model. The record is from RNAcentral.